AUCACUCUAAAACAUCUUAUAAGUUAUCGUAUAAUCUCUUACGUGGUCGCCCACUGAAGCCAAGCAGGGCUGAGCCUGGUCAGUACCUGGAUGGGAGACCACAUGGGAAAGCUAGGUU
This 118-nucleotide ribosomal RNA is filed under the name Danio rerio (zebrafish). The record is from RNAcentral. Lineage: Eukaryota; Metazoa; Chordata; Actinopteri; Cypriniformes; Danionidae.